Molecule: ribosomal RNA, 470 nt
Filed under: uncultured bacterium
Lineage: Bacteria
Description: bacterial SSU rRNA
Rfam family: Bacterial small subunit ribosomal RNA
Source: RNAcentral
GUUAACGCUGGCAGCGUGCAUAACACAUGCAAGUCGAGCGGAACUACCCGCAAGGGUAGUUUAGCGGCAGACGAGUGAGUAACACGUAAGAAAUCUACCCCAAGAAAGGGAACAACUUGCCGAAAGGUGAGCUAAUACCCUAUAUAAUCCCGGAGUGGCAUCACACUGGGAUGAAAGGCGUAAGCCGUCAUGGGAGGAUCUUGCGACCUAUCAGCUAGUUGGUGAGGUAACGGCCCACCAAGGCAAUGACGGGUAGCCGGCCUGAAAGGGCGAUCGGCCACGGAGGCACUGAGACACGGGCCUCACUUCUACGGAAGGCAGCAGUGGGGAAUUUUGGACAAUGGGGGAAACCCUGAUCCAGCAACGCUGCGUGAAGGACGAAGGUCUUCGGAUUGUAAACUUCUUUUGUUGGGGACGAACACCCGCAAGGGUUUGACGGUACCCGAUGAAUAAGCCACGGCUAACUACGU